UACGGAGGAUCCGAGCGUUGUCCGGAUUUACUGGGCGUAAAGGGAGCGUAGGCGGACUUUUAAGUGAGAUGUGAAAUACCCGGGCUCAACUUGGGUGCUGCAUUUCAAACUGGAAGUCUAGAGUGCAGGAGAGGAGAAUGGAAUUCCUAGUGUAGCGGUGAAAUGCGUAGAGAUUAGGAAGAACACCAGUGGCGAAGGCGAUUCUCUGGACUGUAACUGACGCUGAGGCUCGAAAGCGUGGGGAGCAAACAGGAUUAGAUACCCCGGUA
Molecule: ribosomal RNA, 269 nt
Filed under: uncultured prokaryote
Description: partial 16S ribosomal RNA
Rfam family: Bacterial small subunit ribosomal RNA
Source: RNAcentral